GAUGAACGCUGGCGGCGUGCUUUACACAUGCAAGUCGAACGCUGAAGCCCUUCGGGGCGAUGAGUGGCGAACGGUGAGUAACACGUGGGUAACCUACCUCGCACAUCGGGAUAAGCCCGGGAAACUGGGUCUAAUACCGAAUAUGACUUAUCACCACAUGGUGGUAAGUGGAAAGUUCCGGCGGUGCGAGAUGGACCCGCGGCCUAUCAGCUUGUUGGUGGGGUAAU
RNAcentral lists this ribosomal RNA (227 nucleotides) under uncultured bacterium. RNAcentral describes it as "partial 16S ribosomal RNA". It matches the Rfam family "Bacterial small subunit ribosomal RNA", at positions 28 to 261 of the family's 1533-position model. The record is from RNAcentral.